AGCUCCGAUAGCGUAUAUUAAAGUUGUUGCAGUUAAAAAGCUCGUAGUUGAACUUCUAAGGAUUGAGGUCGCCUCAUGGCUUGUAUCGAUAUCCUUAUCCGCUUUGAUUUAGCAAUACGCACUUUGUUGGGCGAUUGUGUAAUCAAGCAAUUUACUUUGAAAAAAUUAGAGUGUUUCAAGCAGGCGAUUUGCUGGAAUACAUUAGCAUGGAAUAUAGAACACGACCUUUUCGUCAUUUUAUUGGUAUAUGACCGGAGGUAAUGAUUAACAGGGACAGUUGGGGGCAUUAGUAUUGCAUUGUCAGAGGUGAAAUUCAUUGAUUAGUGCAAGACUAACUUAUGCGAAAGCAUUUGCCAAGGAUGUUU
This 365-nucleotide ribosomal RNA is filed under the name uncultured eukaryote. RNAcentral's name for it is "SSU rRNA". It matches the Rfam family "Eukaryotic small subunit ribosomal RNA", at positions 587 to 969 of the family's 1831-position model. The record is from RNAcentral.